GACAGCGACCAUGACUCCACCUGGGGCCUGGGCCCUGGCCAGAGAGGCUUCAGGUAUCACCAUCCGUGAACAAACAAGCAGCUUCCCUACCACAUCCAUACAGUCGUCAGAGAAGGUAUCAGCAUCCGUGAACAAACAAGCAGCUUCCCUACCACAUCCAUACAGUCGUCAGAGAAGGUAAGGCAUCUUUCUUUUGUGACAGUCCAAGGACCGCUCUACUAUAUUUCCAUUGAACAAGGUGUCCAUUCAAAGCUAGUAGCUUCCUUAACACCAAGUAAAAGCAGUACAGUUAAAUUCCGGUGACACUGCCAGUGGCCCCUUAUUUUGCCUCAGACAUACCAUUUUCAACCACAUUCUGAUUGCCUAGUUUCCUUCCUCAAGAUUGUGGUUUUCAGCCAUUUGUGAUUCCUACAUUGAUUGAUCUGUUUAUUUUUGUGUUUAAUUUUAACUUUGGUUAUUUGACUUUAUA
Chionomys nivalis (European snow vole) is the source of this 469-nucleotide long non-coding RNA. RefSeq lists it as uncharacterized. The transcript has 3 exons. The record is from RefSeq and is a predicted model, not a curated record. NCBI's taxonomy places the organism in Eukaryota, Metazoa, Chordata, Mammalia, Rodentia, Cricetidae.